RNAcentral lists this long non-coding RNA (1781 nucleotides) under Homo sapiens (human). Its description in RNAcentral is "non-protein coding lnc-FBXO36-5:2". Lineage: Eukaryota; Metazoa; Chordata; Mammalia; Primates; Hominidae. The record is from RNAcentral.
AGGGCUGAUAUGACAAUUGCUGGCACUGCGUAAUUGCUGUGUGGCUACUUGAAAACUUCUCCACUAGAGACUCACUGAGAGCACCUAUUCUGUUGAAUGGAUUUGGCACAAGGAGGAGGAGAGAAGACAAAUGGCCUGGGCUGGUAAGAGACAAAAGUGCCGUGUGUGAGUCUUGGCCCACCUACCUGCUGUGAGACUCUGGGCAAAUCACCUGGUCCCUCUCUUCCCACAUCUUCUGAUGAGCCUUGCUGCCUAUUUCCUGAGUAGCUCAGUGGCCACCAGAGACCCCAGGCUCUUUAUCAACAUUUCAAGAUUGUGUAAGUUCUGGCAUUUUGUACAUUAUCAAAAAGAGAAGGCUAAGACCUAAGUCAGGCUAAAUUUGAUUCAGGAAAACACCUGACGUUUUUGUACUUAAGUAUCGAGGGGUAAAUCACAUCUUUUGCACCUGAAUCCGUAAGAACUGUGGCCUAACCCUCUUCUUCUGGAGAACUCACUUUCCUGUCUUUCUGAGACUCCAGCUAGAUAGUCCUUUGGCAGAUGUUGACCCCAUACUACCUUCUCCGUGGGCAACAUCUGAGUGCAUGGUCUACCUUAGUGAAGGACCUCUCCUUGCCCCUGAAGCACUUCUAUCAUCCUGGACCUCAACGUGGAAUGGUGACCCCUACCUGCCCCACCAGUCACGACCACCUUCUUCCAGCACCUCCAAUGUGUCUGCCCUCCAGCACCACCUGCUCCCAACGUAAGACUGCUGGGGUGAGGUUGCAAAACUUGUGUCUCCCUUAAGUAUGGCUUCUGUACAGAUUAGCCCAGAGACCAUGUCCCAACAAAAUGCCACCAGGAACUCAUGUGGGACGGAGCUGGAAGAUGCCAGCGGUUGCCCCUUCCCCAUGUUAGUGCCUCUUUUCUCCGCACCAACCCUCAGUUCACACCAGAAUGAGACUGCCUGCAUUCACUUUCUGCUCUUACUUCAGAGAAUGUGGCUUAUUCUCAGGCAAUGAACCAGAGGACAACAGACAUUUUCUUUGAGGGAAAUGCAACUUUUUGAAAUUAAAAGGGCAUUUUGUUUUAAUUGAAGAACAUUCAGAUCAGAAACUGGGUUAAAAAUAAACACUGCAGAGCCAGACACAGUGGCUCAGGCCUGUAAUCUUAGCAUUUUGGGAGGCCAAGGCAGGUGGAUCACUUGAGGCCAGGAGUUCAAGACCAGCCUGGCCAACAUGGCAAAAGCCAUCUCUACUAAAAAUAUAAAAAUUAGCAGGGCAUGGUGGCAUCGGCCUGUAAUCCCAGCUACCUGGGAGGCCGAGGCAUGAGAAUCGCUUGAACCUGGGAAGCGGAGGUUGCAGUGAGCCGAGAUCAUGCCACCACACUCCAGCCUGGGCAACAGAGCGAGACUCUGUCUCAAAAUAAAAUAAAAUAAAAUAAUAAGUAAACCCUGCAGAAUCUGAGAGAACAGAGCUCUCGAUGUGGGGGUCUGAUCAGUUUUCCAAGCGUCAACAGACUGGUCCUUCCUAGGAUGCGUGUUUCUUCUGCGGUCGUGUUUACACAUUGGUUUCUGGCAAGAGCAAAGUGUUUGCUUGUGACCUUAAAUAAAAUGCAGACAUCACCUCACUGAGUCUCAUCAAAAGCAGAACUUGUCCUCUCAUUCAUCUUUGUCAGACCAGCAGGAGCAGCCAGGCUAGGUCAUCCAGGGUGACAGUCUCCUUCUCCAUGGAGGUGAAGAUUUCAUCCUGCAUUCUGCUAAUCGGGCUUGGGCCCGCCUUAACCCUGUGAGUGGUUAACACUCC